GGAGAGAGCGAGAGCGAGAGAGAGAGAGACGUGAAGAAAGAUGAUUUACCGGAGCUGGUCUCUGAUGUCGUCCACGGUGGUUAUAUGGGGAAGCGUCGCCGCUGCUGGCCUCGCCGGGAUUUUCGUCUUCGGUGGCAAGGAGAAGUUUCAAGAAUAUCUGAACCGCGAGGGUGCGAGGCUUCGACAGCAAGAUAGGGCCAAGAUUGAAGCAAACAGAGCCUAAUGGAGUUAGAACCCAAAUGAAGCCAAGAUGAAUCGCAUUCCUAGCCGUCUUUAUUUCCCCUACUGUUGCCGUUUCAGGUCCAAUAAAUGUUGUCGAUCGUCACAAACUUCCACUGCAAUUUGGUCCCCUGGUGUGGUCCAAUCCAAAUAAAACGAAUAUAAUACAAUUUGAAACUUCUGAUGCCUCGAACUGUGUACUAAAUUUUGAUAGUUUGAUUUUUAUUUUUUUA
Zingiber officinale is the source of this 452-nucleotide long non-coding RNA. RefSeq lists it as uncharacterized. NCBI's taxonomy places the organism in Eukaryota, Viridiplantae, Streptophyta, Magnoliopsida, Zingiberales, Zingiberaceae. The transcript has 2 exons. The record is from RefSeq and is a predicted model, not a curated record.